Molecule: ribosomal RNA, 467 nt
Filed under: uncultured bacterium
Lineage: Bacteria
Description: partial 16S ribosomal RNA
Rfam family: Bacterial small subunit ribosomal RNA
Source: RNAcentral
GACGAACGCUGGCGGCGUGCUUAACACAUGCAAGUCGAACGGAAAGGCCCUGCUUUUGUGGGGUGCUCGAGUGGCGAACGGGUGAGUAACACGUGAGUAACCUGCCCUUGACUUUGGGAUAACUUCAGGAAACUGGGGCUAAUACCGGAUAGGAGCUCCUGCUGCAUGGUGGGGGUUGGAAAGUUUCGGCGGUGGGGGAUGGACUCGCGGCUUAUCAGCUUGUUGGUGGGGUAGUGGCUUACCAAGGCUUUGACGGGUAGCCGGCCUGAGAGGGUGACCGGCCACAUGGGGACUGAGAUACGGCCCAGACUCAUACGGGAGGCAGCAGUGGGGAAUAUUGCACAAGGGGCGGAAGCCUGAUGCAGCAACGCCGCGUGCGGGAUGACGGCCUUCGGGUUGUAAACCGCUUUCGCCUGUGACGAAGCGUGAGUGACGGUAAUGGGUAAAGAAGCACCGGCUAACUACGU